GUGCUUGCUUCAGCUGCACAUAUACUAAAAUUGGAAUGAUAUAGAGAAGACCAGCACAGUCCCUGCACCAGAAUGACAUGCAAAUUCAUGAAGUGUUCCUUUUUUUU
Molecule: small nuclear RNA, 107 nt
Organism: Camelus dromedarius (Arabian camel)
Lineage: Eukaryota; Metazoa; Chordata; Mammalia; Artiodactyla; Camelidae
Source: Ensembl